CCAAUAGCGUAUAUUAAAGUUGUUGCAGUUAAAAAGCUCGUAGUUGAAUUUCGAGAUCAGUACGCUGGUCGUGCCUUCGGUAUGCACUGGUGUCACUGGUUUCUCCCUUCUGAAGAACCGUCAUGUCAUUAAGUUGGUGUGGCGGGGAAUCAGGACUGUUACUUUGAAAAAAUUAGAGUGUUUAAAGCAGGCUCGCGCUUGAAUACAUUAGCAUGGAAUAAUGAAAUAGGACGUUUGACCCUAUUUUGUUGGUUUCUAGGAUCGACGUAAUGAUUAAUA
This 279-nucleotide ribosomal RNA is filed under the name uncultured Glomus. RNAcentral's name for it is "partial 18S small subunit ribosomal RNA". It matches the Rfam family "Eukaryotic small subunit ribosomal RNA", at positions 591 to 874 of the family's 1831-position model. Lineage: Eukaryota; Fungi; Glomeromycota; Glomeromycetes; Glomerales; Glomeraceae. The record is from RNAcentral.